Phragmites australis (common reed) is the source of this 336-nucleotide long non-coding RNA. RefSeq lists it as uncharacterized. The record is from RefSeq and is a predicted model, not a curated record. The transcript has 3 exons. NCBI's taxonomy places the organism in Eukaryota, Viridiplantae, Streptophyta, Magnoliopsida, Poales, Poaceae.
UUCCGUAUGGCGCACUUCCUUUUUGGUGGACAUGGCUGCCUAUGUCUGCCGAUGUGAUUCCUUAUUUUGCAUUUCCUGUUUUGUUGAUUUUCCUCCGAUAACAGUGAUUCCGUAUUUUGCAUUUCCUUUUUAGCUACUUUGCCAGCUGAUGACAGUAUAAAUCUUACCUUUUGGUGUUUCUUUGUUUGUAUUUCGAGGACGCCGAGGAGUGCACUUCAUCGAGGAGGAGGAAGAGGGACUAGCGAUUGUGUGGAUAAACUUCAAUAUUGGAUCACAAGCAUUGUAAGUUCUGGUAUUCAACCUCUCUAUAGUCUUAGUGUGUUGGUAAGUAACUCG